Molecule: long non-coding RNA, 1506 nt
Organism: Eucalyptus grandis
Lineage: Eukaryota; Viridiplantae; Streptophyta; Magnoliopsida; Myrtales; Myrtaceae
Exons: 2
Source: RefSeq, a predicted model, not a curated record
GUUCUUCAUCGGCCCUUCCUUCUUCUCCUUUUGUUUUUUGUUUUCCGCUUCUAGAUUGAUUGAUUGAUUGAUUUUGUUGAUGGUGUCCUCAUUUUGCUUUCUUCUUUCUUGUCUGAUUUUGUGAAGCAUCAUCUGGUUGCGGAGAUCCUUGAGGGUUUCGCUUGGCCUACGAUUCCUACUGGUUAUCGGAAUUCUUUGGUUUACGCCUCAUCCUUUGAUUGCUUAGUGAUUCAUCGGGCGAUCGAUUGAACUUUGCGUUGCUGUUUUUGACCAGCUUAUUCUGGAUUCUCGUUGUUCGGUGAAUUGGUAGUGCAAUACUUUUCCACUUCUGAUACAGUGAUUGUCGGGGACAUUUUACAAAUGACCUUGUUUUGUAGGUGAUAUGGGUUGUUUUCAGUUUGUAGUGCUACCUUGAGGGCCUAAUUUCUGAAUAUGCUAGGUUCUCGGUACCUUUCAUAACUAGAAGGUCUCUUUCUUCUCGUGCUUCAUUCAUGAUUGGCAUAUGUGAUCAGGCCUCACAUGGGGACGUACACAGGACAGCCAUCUAGACAUAACUCCCUUGGCAUUGCUUGCACUCUGACCGGUUCUCUCCUUUCUGCUGAUUCUCUUGUUUCUUAUCCAUCACAAAGCUGUGUUGUGCCUUGUAUGCUGUCAGCAGACGUGGCUGGUCUGGCUGGGAGAAGCAGACACUUGGUGCUUGGAUGGCCUGUUUGUCAAAUUUUGUAGUUAUUUUUAGAUGGGUGAAACUGAAGGGUUAGAUGACAAUCCUGCAUAAGCCUUGGUUUGAGGUCUUAACAUAUCUGGUAAGCAUGGACCCCUCCUGAUCUCUUAUGAUACCUAAUGUACGAUGGGCGAACUUCUACUGCUUAUAAAUUUAUCGAUUUCCAAUUGCAGCGUGAUCAUUUGCCAAUGAUGAUCUUUUGACCAGGAAUUCUAAUUCAUGGUUCUACUGUAUCUCAUCGCCUCUAUGAAGUCAUCUUCCUUGUAAUUGGAGAUACUAAAUGAUUGCCUUAUGAUUGGUUUCAUUUGCUUUGGUGUUUGCUUUGAAGGCAUGAAUUUUGAAGCAUCUGGCUGGGUCUUUUUUAAGGACAAUGUUGGCGACAGCUCCGAUUUUAUACAGAAAGGUCUAUCCAAGCUAUUAAGGUUCGAACGCUGAUCGUAUCGACUAAUUUUGUGGCUUCCAUGCUAUACGGACUUGUUCAGUUGUUAGAGAAUCCAGUUUAGAGCGAUCCCACUAAGGACCGUGUGAGGAUGCAAAUUGAACAAAACUGUUAGAGAAUCCUAGUUCUUUAGUUGGGAAGGCAGGAGGUUAUUAAUUAAUGCAAUUACGUUUAGUUGAGAAACUGAAUUUUGUUUUUUUUUCCUGUGGAUUGGAGCGAUGAGCGAUGUCUGGAUCUUUCCAUAGGGAUCGUCUGUUUUUAUUUUUAUUUUUGGGGAGAUGCAAUGAACGUCUAGUUCUCUUCCUGUUGUAAAUUAUUUGUUUCUACUUUGAAUUGGUUUGGUGCA